GACAACUUGGGCUUAGUAUUGCACCCAACGCAAGAAUAAAAAGGAAAAGGGGAGGGGAAUCAAUAACAGCGAUGUUUCAGGAAUAGAUGGUUAUUACUUUUCUACUGUAUGAAAUUCAAAAAUUGUAUUUAAUUUAAUUUUUGUGGUUGAUGAAAGAAUAAGUUACUACUUUAAGUCCUAAUUCAAUUCAGAAAUGUCAAAUUAUUAUUAGAGUAAACAUCAUCAUCCGAGAUUUUAU
RNAcentral lists this long non-coding RNA (238 nucleotides) under Lathyrus oleraceus (garden pea). RNAcentral describes it as "Pisum sativum (pea) long non-coding RNA (PSAT_LNC018678)". The record is from RNAcentral. Lineage: Eukaryota; Viridiplantae; Streptophyta; Magnoliopsida; Fabales; Fabaceae.